AACUACGUGCCAGCAGCCGCGGUAAUACGUAGGUGGCAAGCGUUAUCCGGAUUUAUUGGGCGUAAAGCGAGCGCAGGCGGUCUUUUAAGUCUAAUGUGAAAGCCUUCGGCUCAACCGAAGAAGUGCAUUGGAAACUGGGAGACUUGAGUGCAGAAGAGGACAGUGGAACUCCAUGUGUAGCGGUGAAAUGCGUAGAUAUAUGGAAGAACACCAGUGGCGAAGGCGGCUGUCUGGUCUGUAACUGACGCUGAGGCUCGAAAGCAUGGGUAGCGAACAGGAUUAGAUACCCUGGUAGUCCAUGCCGUAAACGAUGAUUACUAAGUGUUGGAGGGUUUCCGCCCUUCAGUGCUGCAGCUAACGCAUUAAGUAAUCCGCCUGGGGAGUACGACCGCAAGGUUGAAACUCAAAAGAAUUGACGGGGGCCCGCACAAGCGGUGGAGCAUGUGGUUUAAUUCGAAGCUACGCGAAGAACCUUACCAGGUCUUGACAUCUUCUGCCAACCUAAGAGAUUAGGCGUUCCCUUCGGGGACAGAAUGACAGGUGGUGCAUGGUUGUCGUCAGCUCGUGUCGUGAGAUGUUGGGUUAAGUCCCGCAACGAGCGCAACCCUUAUUACUAGUUGCCAGCAUUCAGUUGGGCACUCUAGUGAGACUGCCGGUGACAAACCGGAGGAAGGUGGGGACGACGUCAAAUCAUCAUGCCCCUUAUGACCUGGGCUACACACGUGCUACAAUGGAUGGUACAACGAGUCGCGAAACCGCGAGGUUUAGCUAAUCUCUUAAAACCAUUCUCAGUUCGGACUGUAGGCUGCAACUCGCCUACACGAAGUCGGAAUCGCUAGUAAUCGCGGAUCAGCAUGCCGCGGUGAAUACGUUCCCGGGCCUUGUACACACCGCCCGUCACACCAUGAGAGUUUGUAACACCCAAAGCCGGUGGGG
This 936-nucleotide ribosomal RNA is filed under the name Pediococcus acidilactici. RNAcentral describes it as "bacterial SSU rRNA". It matches the Rfam family "Bacterial small subunit ribosomal RNA", at positions 499 to 1435 of the family's 1533-position model. The record is from RNAcentral. Lineage: Bacteria; Bacillati; Bacillota; Bacilli; Lactobacillales; Lactobacillaceae.